This 209-nucleotide long non-coding RNA is filed under the name Elaeis guineensis (African oil palm). Its description in RNAcentral is "long non-coding RNA (EGUI_LNC007744)". The record is from RNAcentral. Lineage: Eukaryota; Viridiplantae; Streptophyta; Magnoliopsida; Arecales; Arecaceae.
GAAGCGUGACAUGGUCGCAGAACAGUUGGUCAAGACUUUCGGAUCGGACGUUGGCUUUAGACAAGAAAGUCCUCACAUUUGGAAGUUCUCCGAUGGUAGACUCUCCGAUACCUAAGUCAAUCUCCUACAGAAGCAAAUAGAAGGGGUUUGAGCUUUUAAAGAGAAUUUCACAGUGAAGUCAAGUAUGAAGUGGAACAAGUUGCCAUGAG